RNAcentral lists this long non-coding RNA (501 nucleotides) under Mustela putorius furo (domestic ferret). RNAcentral describes it as "lncRNA (ENSMPUG00000029415.1)". Lineage: Eukaryota; Metazoa; Chordata; Mammalia; Carnivora; Mustelidae. The record is from RNAcentral.
CUCUAAGAAAAAAAAAAUCUUUCUAAUGUUUUAGGUAAUAUCUGGAAUGAAGAGCAUUCCUUAUGGGCACAUGCUUAGCUAUGCGGCGAGCUGGUUACCAGGAAGAUACGCAUGCAAAUCUUCUCAGAUGCAUCCAACAGAAACUGGCACCAGUGAACUUACCAGAGGGAUGAUUCAUUGAAAGGACAGGACAGCUCACAGAACUGACAGAAAGAGGAAGAGAGAUCUGUCUCCCUACUUUAAGAACACAGAGUCCACAGAGUCAGAAAGAUUUACUCUUUCUUCCCGUCUUUUAACAUGUGGCUGCUUGUUUUUAAAAAUGUAGUGAAGGGGUGCCUGGGUGGCUCAGUGGGUUAAAGCCUCUGCCUUCAGCUCAGAUCAUGAUCCCAGUGUCCUGGCAUCGAGCCCCACAUCAGGCUCUAUGCUCGGUGGGGAGCCUGCUUCCUCCUCUCUCUCUCUCUGCCUGCUUCUCCGCCUACUUGUCAUCUCUGUCAAAUAAAU